AACUAACAAGGAUUCCCCUAGUAACGGCGAGUGAACCGGGAAGAGCUCAAAUUUGAAAUCUGGCGUCCUUCGGGCGUCCGAGUUGUAAUCUAUAGAAACGUUUUCCGUGCCGGACCGUGUCCAAGUCCCUUGGAACAGGGUAUCAGAGAGGGUGACAAUCCCGUACUUGACACGACGACCGGUGCUCUGUGAUACGUUCUCUACGAGUCGAGUUGUUUGGGAAUGCAGCUCAAAAUGGGUGGUAAACUCCAUCUAAAGCUAAAUAUUGGUGGGAGACCGAUAGCGAACAAGUACCGUGAGGGAAAGAUGAAAAGCACUUUGGAAAGAGAGUUAAACAGUAUGUGAAAUUGUUGAAAGGGAAACGAUUGAAGUCAGUCGUGACCGUUGGGUUCAGCCGGUUCUGCCGGUCUACUCCCUUCGGUCGGGUCAACAUCGGUUUUGACCGGCGGAUAAGGAAGGGAGGAAUGUGGCACCCUCCGGGGUGUGUUAUAGCCUCUCGUCGCAUACGUCGGUCGAGACCGAGGAACGCAGCUCGCCUUUAUGGCCGGGGUUCGCCC
This 557-nucleotide ribosomal RNA is filed under the name Kwoniella heveanensis. Its description in RNAcentral is "LSU rRNA". It matches the Rfam family "Eukaryotic large subunit ribosomal RNA", at positions 63 to 632 of the family's 3401-position model. Lineage: Eukaryota; Fungi; Basidiomycota; Tremellomycetes; Tremellales; Cryptococcaceae. The record is from RNAcentral.